GACGAACCGUCCAAACGUUAUUCGGAAUUACUGGGCUUAAAGGGUGCGUAGGCGGCGCGGUAAGUUGGGUGUGAAAUCCCUCGGCUCAACCGAGGAAUUGCGCCCAAAACUGUCGUGCUUGAGGGAGGCAGAGGUGAGCGGAACUGAUGGUGGAGCGGUGAAAUGCGUUGAUAUCAUCAGGAACACCAGUGGCGAAAGCGGCUCACUGGGCCUUUUUCUGACGCUGAGGCACGAAAGCUAGGGGAGCAAACGGG
This 254-nucleotide ribosomal RNA is filed under the name uncultured bacterium. Its description in RNAcentral is "partial 16S ribosomal RNA". It matches the Rfam family "Bacterial small subunit ribosomal RNA", at positions 524 to 776 of the family's 1533-position model. The record is from RNAcentral.